ACGGGAGGCAGCAGUGGGGAAUAUUGCACAAUGGGCGCAAGCCUGAUGCAGCGAUGCCGCGUGAGGGAAGAAGGUUUUCGGAUUGUAAACCUCUGUCAACAGGGACGAAAAUGACGGUACCUGUGAAGGAAGCUCCGGCUAACUACGUGCCAGCAGCCGCGGUAAUACGUAGGGAGCAAGCGUUAUCCGGAAUUACUGGGUGUAAAGGGAGUGUAGGCGGGACUGUAAGUCAGAUGUGAAAUAUGCCGGCUCAACUGGCAGACUGCAUUUGAAACUGCGGUUCUUGAGUGAAGUAGAGGUAAGCGGAAUUCCUAGUGUAGCGGUGAAAUGCGUAGAUAUUAGGAGGAACAUCAGUGGCGAAGGCGGCUUACUGGGCUUUAACUGACGCUGAGGCUCGAAAGCGUGGGGAG
This 410-nucleotide ribosomal RNA is filed under the name uncultured Ruminococcus sp. RNAcentral describes it as "bacterial SSU rRNA". It matches the Rfam family "Bacterial small subunit ribosomal RNA", at positions 341 to 768 of the family's 1533-position model. The record is from RNAcentral. Lineage: Bacteria; Bacillati; Bacillota; Clostridia; Eubacteriales; Oscillospiraceae.